GGUGUGACUAGUGACAGAGUGAGGGAAUGGGUGACUAGUGGCAGAGUGAGGGAAGGAAGGGGUGACUAGUGACAGAGUGAGGGGAUGACUGGUGACAGAGUGAGGGGGUGACACAGUGGCAGAGUGAGGGAGGUGGUGACUGUCAUUAGUCACCCCAUCCCUCACUCUGUCCCUAGUCACCCCCUCCUUCUGUCACUAGUCACCCCCUUCCUCACUCUGUCACUAGUCACCCCUUCCCUCCCUAACUCUGUCACUAGUCACCCCCUCCCUCUCUCUGUCACUAGUCACACC
Pelobates cultripes (western spadefoot toad) is the source of this 291-nucleotide non-coding RNA. The record is from the annotation of a GenBank genome assembly. Lineage: Eukaryota; Metazoa; Chordata; Amphibia; Anura; Pelobatidae.